UCGAGAAUUUUUCACAAUGGGCGAAAGCCUGAUGGAGCGACGCCGCGUGGGGGAUGAAUGGCUUCGGCCCGUAAACCCCUGUCAUUCGCGAGCAAACGUUAUUAUUUAAAAGAUGAUAGCCUGAUAGUAGCGAAAGAGGAAGGGACGGCUAACUCUGUGCCAGCAGCCGCGGUAAUACAGAGGUCCCAAGCGUUGUUCGGAUUUACUGGGCGUAAAGGGUGCGUAGGUGGUGGGGUAAGUCGUAUGUGAAAUCUCCGAGC
RNAcentral lists this ribosomal RNA (260 nucleotides) under uncultured bacterium. RNAcentral describes it as "partial 16S ribosomal RNA". It matches the Rfam family "Bacterial small subunit ribosomal RNA", at positions 355 to 608 of the family's 1533-position model. The record is from RNAcentral.